GACGAACGCUGGCGGCGUGCCUAAUACAUGCAAGUCGAACGAACUCUGGUAAUGAUUGGUGCUUGCAUCAUGAAUUACAUUUGAGUGAGUGGCGAACUGGUGAGUAACACGUGGGAAACCUGCCCAGAAGCGGGGGAUAACACCUGGAAACAGAUGCUAAUACCGCAUAACAACUUGGACCGCUAGGUCCGAGUUUGAAAGAUGGCUUCGGCUAUCACUUUUGGAUGGUCCCGCGGCGUAUUAGCUAGAUGGUGAGGUAACGGCUAACCAUGGCAAUGAUACGUAGCCGACCUGAGAGGGUAAUCGGCCACAUUGGGACUGAGACACGGCCCAAACUCCUACGGGAGGCAGCAGUAGGGAAUCUUCCACAAUGGACGAAAGUCUGAUGGAGCAACGCCGCGUGAGUGAAGAAGGGUUUCGGCUCGUAAAACUCUGUUGUUAAAGAAGAACAUAUCUGAGAGUAACUGUUCAGGUAUUGACGGUAUUUAACCAGAAAGCCACGGCUAACUACGUGCCAGCCGCCGCCGUAA
This 530-nucleotide ribosomal RNA is filed under the name uncultured bacterium. RNAcentral's name for it is "partial 16S ribosomal RNA". It matches the Rfam family "Bacterial small subunit ribosomal RNA", at positions 28 to 523 of the family's 1533-position model. The record is from RNAcentral.